Molecule: ribosomal RNA, 817 nt
Filed under: uncultured Caulobacter sp.
Lineage: Bacteria; Pseudomonadati; Pseudomonadota; Alphaproteobacteria; Caulobacterales; Caulobacteraceae
Description: bacterial SSU rRNA
Rfam family: Bacterial small subunit ribosomal RNA
Source: RNAcentral
AACACAUGCAAGUCGAACGGAUCCUUCGGGGUUAGUGGCGGACGGGUGAGUACACGUGGGAACGUGCCCUUUGGUUCGGAACAACUCAGGGAAACUUGAGCUAAUACCGGAUGUGCCCUUCGGGGGAAAGAUUUAUCGCCAUUGGAGCGGCCCGCGUCUGAUUAGCUAGUUGGUGGGGUAAAGGCCCACCAAGGCGACGAUCAGUAGCUGGUCUGAGAGGAUGAUCAGCCACAUUGGGACUGAGACACGGCCCAAACUCCUACGGGAGGCAGCAGUGGGGAAUCUUGCGCAAUGGGCGAAAGCCUGACGCAGCCAUGCCGCGUGAAUGAAUGAAGGUCUUAGGAUUGUAAAAUUCUUUCACCGGGGACGAUAAUGACGGUACCCGGAGAAGAAGCCCCGGCUAACUUCGUGCCAGCAGCCGCGGUAAUACGAAGGGGGCUAGCGUUGCUCGGAAUUACUGGGCGUAAAGGGAGCGUAGGCGGACUGUUAAGUUAGAGGUGAAAGCCCAGGGCUCAACCUUGGAAUUGCCUUUGAUACUGGCAGUCUUGAGUACGGAAGAGGUAUGUGGAACUCCGAGUGUAGAGGUGAAAUUCGUAGAUAUUCGGAAGAACACCAGUGGCGAAGGCGACAUACUGGUCCGUUACUGACGCUGAGGCUCGAAAGCGUGGGGAGCAAACAGGAUUAGAUACCCUGGUAGUCCACGCCGUAAACGAUGAGUGCUAGUUGUCGGCAUGCAUGCAUGUCGGUGACGCAGCUAACGCAUUAAGCACUCCGCCUGGGGAGUACGGUCGCAAGAUUAAAACUCAAAGGAAUUGAC